CGGCCGGUGCUCUGGCGGACUUUCAAUCCGCUAGCCGUGGGUACGAUCCCCACCGGGCCCA
Molecule: transfer RNA, 61 nt
Filed under: Brachybacterium sp. AG952
Lineage: Bacteria; Bacillati; Actinomycetota; Actinomycetes; Micrococcales; Dermabacteraceae
Description: tRNA-Glu
Source: RNAcentral